Molecule: ribosomal RNA, 465 nt
Filed under: uncultured bacterium
Lineage: Bacteria
Description: bacterial SSU rRNA
Rfam family: Bacterial small subunit ribosomal RNA
Source: RNAcentral
GGGCCCGCACAAGCGGUGGAGCAUGUGGUUCAAUUCGACGCAACGCGAAGAACCUUACCGGGGUUUGAACUGUAUGGGACAGCUCUAGAGAUAGAGUUUUCCUUCGGGACCCAUAUAGAGGUGCUGCAUGGCUGUCGUCAGCUCGUGUCGUGAGAUGUUGGGUUAAGUCCCGCAACGAGCGCAACCCUCGCCUCCUGUUGCCAACAGGUAAUGCUGGGCACUCUGGAGAGACUGCCGGUGACAAACCGGAGGAAGGUGGGGAUGACGUCAAGUCCUCAUGGCCUUUAUGCCCCGGGCUACACACGUGCUACAAUGGUCGGUACAAAGGGUUGCAAUACCGUGAGGUGGAGCUAAUCCCAAAAAACCGAUCCCAGUUCGGAUUGGAGUCUGCAACUCGACUCCAUGAAGCUGGAAUCGCUAGUAAUCGCGGAUCAGAAUGCCGCGGUGAAUACGUUCCCGGGCCUU